Molecule: long non-coding RNA, 675 nt
Organism: Phyllostomus hastatus (greater spear-nosed bat)
Lineage: Eukaryota; Metazoa; Chordata; Mammalia; Chiroptera; Phyllostomidae
Exons: 3
Source: RefSeq, a predicted model, not a curated record
GCAGGAGGCAUGAGGUGGACAGGCCGGUUCUGGAGGGACAGAGCCCGGUCGGGAUUCUGGAGCAACGCGGGAAGCCACGGCAGGGUUUCACACCGGGAAACAAUGCAAUCGGAUUGGAAAGUGUAAAAUCAGUCUGUGAUUCAGGACACCCAGUCCAAUGGGAUCAGGGCCUGCUCUGGUGACUUCAUCUUAUCAGCAUCUGGAAAGUGCCGUGUCCAGCCAGCGCUGAGAACAACUGUUAGAGGAGCCACAGGCCUCCGUGGAGACGAGACGUCUUGCCACCCCUCUUGGCCCAGAGGUGGAAAACUGCCUCCAGCCUUUCGAGUCUCCUACCACGGGAAGAGCAAAGCCACGGUCCCGCCUCCCCGAGAGGCUGAGAACAACCUAAAUCACAGGCACACCCUCUAGCACAGCGCUCAGGGCGCCGGAAACAGGGCACAACUUCAGCUCCGGGAGCUGGGUGGGUGCAGGUCCCAGCCCAGCGGGAGCUAUUCUCCUCCUUCCCUUCUCCCUUCUCCCCGCCCCAGCCCCACGCCAGCAGGCCUUUGUUCUGGAGGGGGAAGUGGGGGCUUUCAAACCGAGGGUUGCCAAAUCAAUUCAGUGCAAAACAAUUAGCAAUUUUUAAAGUAACAAAAAUGUAGAAUUGAGAUUGUUAGAGCACAAUACGAAAUAAAA